GCUUUGUUUAUUAUAAUAUUCAAGAUGGCACCUCCUACACCAUCCAUGGCUUCUCGUAUGUCUGCUCUUGUCUUGAGGGUUCUCACUUUUAUUUUCCUCUUGGCUUCACUUAUUAUCUUGACCACCAACACCGCCACCUUAGAAUUUGAUCUCUUCCAGGUUAAAGUCCACUUCAAAGAUGUUUAUGCAUAUCGGUACAUGGUUGCAGCAAUUGUUAUUGGAUUUGCAUACACAAUCUUGCAAAUGGCUAUCACAUUAUACCACGUUGCCACUGGAAAUCGAGUGAUGAGUGAUGAUGGAAGCCUUGUUUUUGACUUCUAUGGUGACAAGGUAAUAUCAUAUGUUUUAGCCACUGGUGCAGCUGCAGGAUUUGGAGUUACAAAAGAUAUGAAAUCAAUAUUGACAGGUUCAGGAAAUGUUGACCAAUUCUUCAACAAAGGCUAUGCCUCUGCCAGUCUCCUCCUCCUGGGAUUCAUCUGCACUGCAAUAUUAUCUGUAAUCUCAUCCUAUGCACUCCCUAAGCGUGUUUAACCCUUCCAAUUACAAGCAAAAAUGUAUCAUAUUAACAUAUUUUGAAUUUAGAAUUUUCCCAUUUUCAUGUAUAACAUUGAUGGGGAUUAUAUAAAUAAUAAAAUUGUACUUUGGCAUAAACCAAAUUUAACUGCAGUACCCAACAUGUUAUACCCAUUUUAAUAACAAAGGCUUCUUAAUUUUCAUUAAACCAUGGUAAGGUAUGGAGGGAUGUGGGUGGGAGUUUUAGCUGGUGUUGUGGGCGACUGUGAUGCUUAAUAUCGGUGACAGGGGACAUA
RNAcentral lists this unclassified non-coding RNA (809 nucleotides) under Hevea brasiliensis (rubber tree). Lineage: Eukaryota; Viridiplantae; Streptophyta; Magnoliopsida; Malpighiales; Euphorbiaceae. The record is from RNAcentral.